CUUUCUCCAGAGUACCUAGAGAAUUUCUACUCACCUAGCAUUCUUGGUGAAUUCUCAGUGCACAAUACUAUCUGUUACACAUGGAUACCAGCAAUAAUACAUGCGGGGGCUCCGGCAGAAGAGACAAGCAAGCUCUGUGCUCAUCUGCAUUCUGAGUCUCAUCCUGCAACGGAGUUUCUGCUCACGCUGUAGUCACCAUGGUCAGCAAUUAAAACAAAGUUUCUUUGCGGUUUCAUCCAUCAUACAGAGUUGUCAUAGCGAUUAAUUAAACCAUGAUCCCCACUGCUUUUGCAGUUACGAGGAUGGUGUCUGUCACAGAGUAGCCAGUCAAAAAAUACUCUUGAAGGAAUUGAUUAUGAAGAGCACUCUCUGAAUCAGUUGACCACAAGUGUUCCCAAGGUGGACUCAGCAAUGAUGCCAGCCUAGAUGGUCUGCACCAAGGACUUCUCCAAAGAGUUGACAAGGAGAAACUACAUCUCAGAGCAGUCCACAAGUGGGAGAAAGGAAAGAAACAUCUGCCUGUUUCUCACUUUCCAAUAAUCAAGAUUUAACACACUGGAAGCAAAUUCUCCUGAACUUCUGAGUUUUCUCAUCUGGCCCCAUCAAGGAUGAGAGUCAAUUUGGUAUAGGUGAAGCAAUA
This is a long non-coding RNA of Balaenoptera acutorostrata (minke whale), 640 nucleotides long. RefSeq lists it as uncharacterized. The transcript has 5 exons. The record is from RefSeq and is a predicted model, not a curated record. Lineage: Eukaryota; Metazoa; Chordata; Mammalia; Artiodactyla; Balaenopteridae.